Molecule: RNA transcript, 588 nt
Organism: Rhipicephalus sanguineus (brown dog tick)
Lineage: Eukaryota; Metazoa; Arthropoda; Arachnida; Ixodida; Ixodidae
Gene name: ankyrin repeat domain-containing protein 16-like
Exons: 5
Source: RefSeq, a predicted model, not a curated record
UUGCAGGGAAGGCCAUGUACACAUAAUGUCCUGCCUUUUGGAUAUAUCCCCAGAUGCAUGGAACACCAGCAGCAGGAACAAGAGAACACCACUUCAUACAGCUGCUUUACAUGGCCAGUUGCAAUGCGUGAAGCUGCUUCUAAAGAGGGGCCACUAUCCACCAGAUGUAGCUGACACUGUGGCACUACACCUUUCAUGGAUGCUGCGAGUGCAGAUCAGGUGGCCAUACUGGACUGCUUGGCAGAGCUCCAAAAGGCUGACGUAACCAAGAUGGACGUACUGGGUACAACAGCCUGCACCUGGCAGCGCAAACAGGUGCCACCUCUGCAGUUUUGUCACUUGUUGAGAAAUAUGCCCUAGACAUCAACAGCAUCAACUCUUGGGGACAGACUCCUCUGCAUUUGUCUGCCAAGGCAGGCCAAGAUGAUGUGGUUAAACUGCUAAUUGACCUGGGUGCUGUAUGCAAUGUCAGAGAUAACAAAGGUCGCACAGCAUAUGACCUGGCAAAGAAUAAUGGCCACAACACCUGCUGUAGACUCUUGCAGCAUCACAACAUGGAGCAACAAUAAAAAUGCUUCUUUCCAACAA